Molecule: ribosomal RNA, 254 nt
Filed under: uncultured bacterium
Lineage: Bacteria
Description: partial 16S ribosomal RNA
Rfam family: Bacterial small subunit ribosomal RNA
Source: RNAcentral
UACAGAGGCCUCGAGCGUUAGGCGGAAUCACUGGGCUUAAAGCGUGUGUAGGCGGACUUCUAAGUACCUUGUGAAAUCCCACGGCUCACCCGUGGAACUGCUCGGUAUACUGGUCGUCUUGAGCCUUCUAGGGGCGAGUGGAACAAAUGGUGGAGCGGUGAAAUGCGUAGGAUAUCAUUUGGAACGCCAAUGGUGAAAACAACUCGCUGGGGAAGUGCUGACGCUGAGACACGAAAGCCAGGGGAGCGAACGGG